This is a non-coding RNA of Megalopta genalis, 542 nucleotides long. Lineage: Eukaryota; Metazoa; Arthropoda; Insecta; Hymenoptera; Halictidae. The record is from RefSeq and is a predicted model, not a curated record.
UCGCUUUCCGCAUCGAUACACUAGACAUAUGCUACAGAGAAGGCGUAUAAGUGUGUUCAGUGUUAUAUCUUGAGUAAGAAUAUUAUCCAAAUCGAAUCACUACAACGAGAUCUGUGGACGCCCAUAAGCAUCGUAUUAUUUAAUCUGGUGGGUGAUCGCUCCCGCUCCACAGACGUGACAAUGGAUACGGUUGGAUCGGGGACGAGAAAUGUCCUUGGACUGAAUUAAACCGCUGCGUGGUGAUGGUGUCACGGGACUGCGAACUGGACAAGUUAAAUGUGGAGUGAACCAUCUGACUCGCGCUGGCCGUAGUGACGGAGAGAGGCUAUAGUAUAGUUAUGUCAAGGCUAUCCGUACACGAAGUUGGAUCAAGGAUCGGACAGAGUAAAGACAAGGUUGACUUGAAGUAAAGAUGUAGACUGCUUUUAUUUUGAACAGAGGGUCCUUAUAUAGUACUACAAGUUUGUCUUAUCGUGCUGUUUUUGGUGGCGACUAUAGUGGCUCUCCGUAAGAUGUCACUGAGGUACAACGCGCGAAAUAUC